This 119-nucleotide ribosomal RNA is filed under the name Triticum aestivum (bread wheat). Lineage: Eukaryota; Viridiplantae; Streptophyta; Magnoliopsida; Poales; Poaceae. The record is from RNAcentral.
GGAUGCGAUCAUACCAGCACUAAAGCACCGGAUCCCAUUAGAACUCUGAAGUUAAGCGUGCUUGGGCGAGAGUAGUACUAGGAUGGGUGACCUCCUGGGAAGUCCUCAUGUUGCAUUCC